RNAcentral lists this ribosomal RNA (460 nucleotides) under uncultured bacterium. RNAcentral describes it as "partial 16S ribosomal RNA". It matches the Rfam family "Bacterial small subunit ribosomal RNA", at positions 338 to 795 of the family's 1533-position model. The record is from RNAcentral.
CCUACGGGGGGCAGCAGUGAGGAAUAUUGGUCAAUGGACGAGAGUCUGAACCAGCCAAGUAGCGUGAAGGAUGACUGCCCUAUGGGUUGUAAACCUCUUUUAUCUGGGAGCAAAACAGGGCACGCAUACCCUCUUGUGAGUACCAUAAGAAAAAGCAUCGGCUAACUCCGUGCCAGCAGCCGCGGUAAUACGGAGGAUGCGAGCGUUAUCCGGAUUUAUUGGGUUUAAAGGGUGCGGAGGGGGAUUGUCAAGUCAGUGGGUAAAAUUUGGGGCUCAACCGUAUAAUUGCAGUUGAAACUGGAAUUCUUGAGUGCACUAGAGGUGGGCGGAAUGCGUGGUGUAGCGGUGAAAUGCAUAGAUAUCACGAAGAACUCCGAUUGCGAAGGCAGCACACCGGCGUGCAACUGACGCUGAUGCACGAAAGUGUGGGUAUCGAACAGGAUUAGAUACCCGGGUAGUC